CCUCAAGGGUUUCAUUUGGUUGAAGAGAGUUUGCUCUUCAGAAAACCCUAGCCGCCCUAAGAGGCUUAUUCUCUCUCCGUGUCACCAUGGCCGAAAAUGACAAAGGUGGCAGAGUACCUUGCUUCUUCAAGCCUUGUAUGGUUGUUUGAGGCAAACAUUAAUGGGUUGUGAGGAGCAAGGAUCCACUUUCAAACUCGACCAAGGCUGCACUUGAAAGAGAUCUAAUAGAGUGGCAAAGGAUCUGCCUUAAGUAUAUGCACCUUUAGUCAAGUGUAUGUUUAGUUGGUUCAAACCAAGUCUGAUUGAAAUGUCCUUGUUGUUAGCAUGUUCAUGAGUUGGCAAGUUAGCCUGCAGUUCACUCAAAUGAUAGUUUAGUGUGUGUAAGUGUUUACAUCUGCCUUGUUUAACUCAUUUCAGUUCACAUAUGUUCCCAUAUGUUGUGUGUUAGUGGCAGUAAAAGUAAAUUCAUAUGCUUAAUGACAAGAUAAUUAUUACAAGCAUGUUUUAGUGUAUGUGCAUUUAACCAUGUAUCAGACAAUCGCUUGAUUGAGUCUGUUUUCAGCUACUCUAUGUAAUGGAGAAGCCUUUAGCUUAUAAGAUAACUUUAACAUGAAGUGAUGUGGUUAUGUUAUUAGUAUUUGCUUAAGUAAUUAGUAUUCUUCUUGUGCUAUUGAAUAACACUUAGAGAACAUGUUGUUAAGACUGUUGUUGGUUGGGAAAACCUGCUAAGAUUGUAAUUAGUUAACUAGAAUCAAAGAACAUGCUCAUGUCUCAAAUGGCCACUUCUUGUACUCCUGUAUGAUUGUUUAGUUUAUCCAAGUGAUUGUGACAUUGAGUUUUGGUUCCACAUGUGUAUACAUAGACUAUAUGUGCUAAGGAAUUUAGCUAUUAUGACUUCUGGCAUUACUGUCUAGUGUGGAUUAAUGGGAACUUGAAGUUUGAGGAAGUUAGAAAAUUUAAAAGAUGAACUUUCAACCUUUGUCAUGAUGAGUUUAGAUCAAUGUGAGUCGCCAAAAUUAAAAAAUGAAAUGUUUAGGUCUAUCCUUUGAAUAAAGGGGAUCUAGGAGGCUGUCACUUGGCUUGUGAAGAGGUGGAGAGUGAUGUCCUCAGGUGAAGAGGGGAUCAGGAAAGUCAUUGAGUAUCCACUCAGCCUAGUAUUGCCUACUCUAGAUUACUGGGGUUCCUCUUUACUAAAUCAUAAGGCUAUGGGACACUUCAAGGUCUCAGCAAUAAAAAUCAUAUAGGUCCACAGGUUGAAAAUGAAUGCUGAUGUCUUUAUAUAUGUUUGAGAGGUGUAUUUAUGCAUUUAACUCCUACCUAAAGAGAUAAGGGGAUUCUUUCAUUGAAAUUGGUGUUGUGUGUUUUGCUAUUGCAUAAUCUGAUGUGU
Long non-coding RNA from Lycium ferocissimum, 1387 nucleotides. RefSeq lists it as uncharacterized. The transcript is spliced from 3 exons. The record is from RefSeq and is a predicted model, not a curated record. NCBI's taxonomy places the organism in Eukaryota, Viridiplantae, Streptophyta, Magnoliopsida, Solanales, Solanaceae.